Molecule: small RNA, 474 nt
Filed under: Pan troglodytes (chimpanzee)
Lineage: Eukaryota; Metazoa; Chordata; Mammalia; Primates; Hominidae
Description: processed transcript
Source: RNAcentral
CUAGAUGAUAUUGGACAUGGAGUAAAGGUGAGUACCCAGAACAUGAAGAUGGGUGGGCUGCCGCGUACAACACCUCCAACUCAGAAGCCCCCUAGUCCCCCUAUGUCAGGGAAAGGGACACUUGGCAGCAGUGGGAGUAGUGGAGGGAGCCACCCAAGUAGUCGGAGCAGCAGUCGAGAGAACAGUGGAAGUGGUAGUGUGGGGGUUCCUAUUGCUGUUCCUACUCCAUCUCCUCCCAGUGUCUUUCCAGGUCAUCCUGUACAGUUCUACAGCAUGAAUAGGCCUGCCUCUCGCCAUACUCCCCCAACAAUAGGGGGCUCGUUGCCCUAUAGACGCCCUCCUUCCAUUACUUCACAAACAAGCCUUCAGAAUCAGAUGAAUGGAGGACCUUUUUAUAGCCAGAAUCCAGUUUCAGAUACACCACCUCCACCGCCACCUGUGGAAGAACCAGUCUUUGAUGAGUCUCCCCCACCU